Non-coding RNA from Delphinapterus leucas (beluga whale), 2066 nucleotides. NCBI's taxonomy places the organism in Eukaryota, Metazoa, Chordata, Mammalia, Artiodactyla, Monodontidae. The record is from RefSeq and is a predicted model, not a curated record.
CGGGAGCGGGGGAAGGAAAGUCCUGGAGGGAAGAUGUGUUUGUCUACUGCAGGGACACAGGCUGGACGCUUGGCUGACGGUCACCUCUGCUCCCUUUGUCCCUAAAUAGGAACGUCCGCCUCUCAGCACUGGGCUCUAUCUCCCUCAGUGAUGUCCUGCAUGUCUGUAGUUACCACUUCUACGCUGGGGACGCUGAAACUUCAUCUGUGACUCUAAUCCCACCCGAGUCUGCAUGGAGAAUACACAGUGUCUGGCUCAGAGUAGAAGAUCUUUGUUGAAAAACUACAGAAGAUGUGUUUUGGAUUUGACUUGGGAGUUGGGGUCUGGUUGGUCCAGGACCCAAGGAUUCUGCCUUCCAAACACACUAAGGGAGGAUGCAGAGAUGGGAGGACCCAGAAACACGUGGACUGUGCUUUUUGGAUAGUCAGGCUAGACCUCACUGAAGAGUGAACAUCUUCAUGUGACAUGUGUGAAGCAAGGGAGGGAACUUCAUGGAACUGCAGCAGGAAGAGCAAGUGCAAAGGCCCUGAGCAUCUCAAUGAGAAAAGACCGUAGGCAACAGCACGGAGAGAUGCCUAGUUCUGUGAAGAUUACUGCUACGUUUAGUAACAAGGAUGGGAGAGAAAUAAUCAAGAAGGAAAUGUGUCAGAAGGUGCUCAGUGUUCUGAUGCCGCCACUCUUUGGAAUCCUGCUUGCUGACACGUGGGAAUAUCAGCGCCUCGAGAUAAUGCAAUGCGCCAGGGCUUCUCCUCACUCUGCUCCUGUUUCACACCAGAGUCACAAGCCUCUGGGGUCAAUGGCAUUCAUGAUGAAAUUAAACAUCAGACACUUCUUCAUAUCUUCUCUAUAGAUAUGCUACAGAAGGCUCUCUGGUGAGAUGCUCUCUCUUCUUGAGAUACCCAAAUUAACAGACCCCGGAAUUACGCAGAGAUAAAAUUCUGAUCUGUAUUCAAUCUCUUGAUCUUUGUUGGUCUUGGGCCAGUUACAUGAGCAGCUUGGUUAGACCUGAAGGGAAGCGGGUUGUCCUUUCUUUCAGGCAAUGGGCAUGAGAAAUAGGUUAAGAAUUCAGUUGUGCAGGAUCGUAUGUGGAAUUCAGGAAACCUGGCACACCUUUCUGUGAACUACUGUGUCAGACCUCAGGGAUUCCUUCAGAUUCCCAAUCACGGGUGAAUCGAGUCUCCCAUCCAUUUUCAUCGGCUACAGUGGAAAAACAUUGUCUCUUCCUAGCUUCCCUUUGAUGUGGAACACAAAACCUUUACCGGGCCCUUUAAAAGAGGAAGAGAUUUAUGUUUCUGUUUCUGGUCCAAAGAAAAUGAAUGUGCCUUUUACAUUUUCUCAUAGACUCUCUCUGGUUGGAGCCUUCGAGAAAGCAGAGACUUAUUUCAAGUUCCGGGAGUCAGUUUCUACACCAGGGGCUCGGAGCUCAGAUGAGCCCGGUGGUGGGAACACAUAUAGAAGUACCUGCCUUGUGUUUGGGGCUCAAAGCAGACCUUGUACAGCAGGAGACUGGUGCUGAGUUUGCAGAAGUGGGGAAGAGGCCAACCACCCAUCUUCUGAUGAGCAGAUCAAAGGCAUCACAUUUCAUUGUUUCAGGGGAAAGGAAAAGGAAAAAUAAAGGGAAAGCAAAUCGAAGAAUGAAGGGAAAGGGGGAAUCCCUCUCAUAUGGAGUGUCCAUAGUAAGCAACGAGGAGCAGUUAGACUGUAUGUUGUAUGAUUUAUGUAUCAGAAGUCUUCCUCUUAAACUGUCUAGAAAUUAAGUAUAUGAUCUUUAGUUCAUGGAUGAGAAAACCAAUGCCCAGAGACCUUUCCUCCAAACACACAACUAGUUAAACUAGGAAUUGAAUCCAGAUCUUAUGAUUCUUUUCAUUGCUAGAAGAGUCAGUAUGAAAUGAAGGCUCAAUCUUAUGCUAAAUUUCUAGACUCUUUAGGAAUACAUGUGAACAUACCAGAUAAAAUACUGUAAAGGCAACUGUUUAUGGCAUUAAAAGCAGGUUAAGAAAAAAUGGGCUAAAAUACUAUGUGUAAUAUGUUCUAUUUUAUUUUUUAUAAAAUAAAAAAUACCUAUC